This 609-nucleotide ribosomal RNA is filed under the name Clostridioides difficile. RNAcentral describes it as "bacterial SSU rRNA". It matches the Rfam family "Bacterial small subunit ribosomal RNA", at positions 221 to 849 of the family's 1533-position model. Lineage: Bacteria; Bacillati; Bacillota; Clostridia; Peptostreptococcales; Peptostreptococcaceae. The record is from RNAcentral.
CAGGAUGGACCCGCGUCUGAUUAGCUAGUUGGUAAGGUAACGGCUUACCAAGGCGACGAUCAGUAGCCGACCUGAGAGGGUGAUCGGCCACAUUGGAACUGAGACACGGUCCAAACUCCUACGGGAGGCAGCAGUGGGGAAUAUUGCACAAUGGGCGAAAGCCUGAUGCAGCAACGCCGCGUGAGUGAUGAAGGCCUUCGGGUCGUAAAACUCUGUCCUCAAGGAAGAUAAUGACGGUACUUGAGGAGGAAGCCCCGGCUAACUACGUGCCAGCAGCCGCGGUAAUACGUAGGGGGCUAGCGUUAUCCGGAUUUACUGGGCGUAAAGGGUGCGUAGGCGGUCUUUCAAGUCAGGAGUGAAAGGCUACGGCUCAACCGUAGUAAGCUCUUGAAACUGGGAGACUUGAGUGCAGGAGAGGAGAGUGGAAUUCCUAGUGUAGCGGUGAAAUGCGUAGAUAUUAGGAGGAACACCAGUUGCGAAGGCGGCUCUCUGGACUGUAACUGACGCUGAGGCACGAAAGCGUGGGGAGCAAACAGGAUUAGAUACCCUGGUAGUCCACGCUGUAAACGAUGAGUACUAGGUGUCGGGGGUUACCCCCUUCGGUGCCGC